RNAcentral lists this transfer RNA (73 nucleotides) under Ailuropoda melanoleuca (giant panda). It matches the Rfam family "tRNA". Rfam says of the family: Transfer RNA (tRNA) molecules are approximately 80 nucleotides in length. Their secondary structure includes four short double-helical elements and three loops (D, anti-codon, and T loops). The record is from Rfam by way of RNAcentral. Lineage: Eukaryota; Metazoa; Chordata; Mammalia; Carnivora; Ursidae.
AUCUGGCUGGCUCAGUAGGUAGAGCAUGUGACUCUUGAUCUUGGAGUUGUGGGUUCGAGCCCCAUACUAGGUA